RNAcentral lists this long non-coding RNA (2070 nucleotides) under Salmo salar (Atlantic salmon). Its description in RNAcentral is "lncRNA (ENSSSAG00000120338.1)". The record is from RNAcentral. Lineage: Eukaryota; Metazoa; Chordata; Actinopteri; Salmoniformes; Salmonidae.
GUUUCUUCCUAGGUUUUUGGCCUUUCUAGGGAGUUUUUCCUAGGGAGUUUUUCCUAGCCACCGUGCUUCUUUCACAUGCUUUGCUUGCUGUUUGGGGUUUUAGGCUGGGUUUCUGUACAGCACUUUGAGAAUAUCAGCUGAUGUACGAAGGGCUAUAUAAAAAUAAAUUUGAUUUUGAUUUGAUAAAUUUGAUUGCCUCGAAGCGAGCAUAGAAGGCAUUUAGCUCAUCUGGUACGCUCGCGUAGCUGGGCAGCUCUCAGAUGGGUCUCCCUUUGUAAUCCGUGAUAGUUUGCAAGCCCUGCCACAUCUGUCAAGCGUCAAGGCCAGCGUAGUAUGAUUCAAUUUUUGUCCUGUAUUGACACUUUGCCGGUUUGAUGGCUUGUCAGAGGUUGUAGCGGGAUUUUAGAAGCAUCGGGAUUAAUGAGGUCAGUUCAUUGGCGGAUCAACAACUGAACUGUCAGCCAUGGGGGCCAGAGUGACAGCCAGUGAGAAGGAGGUGGAGGAACAGAAAAAGGAGGUGACAGCUCUUAGAGAGGAGCUGAGCGUCACCACUACUGAACUGUCAGCCAUGAGGGCCAGAGUGACAGCCAGUGAGAAGGAGGUGGAGGAACAGAAAAAGGAGGUGACAGCUCUUAGAGAGGAGCUGAGCGUCACCAUUACUGAACUGCAGCUCUAGAAGAACAAGGUGGAGGAGCUGGAGAAAGACAAUACAGGACAAGCAGCUGAACUGUCAGCCAUGGGGGUCAGAAUGACAGCCAGUGAGGAGUUGGAAGAGCUGGACAGAGAAUGCAGAACUGACUGUUGAGUGAACUGUGUUUGGUUGCAAGUGAUGUUAUCCCCAGAGGCCAGAGUGACAGCCAGCGAGAGUGGGAAAGCAGCCUUGGAGGGCAGACUGAGUUCCAGUGAGACGGAGGUGGAGGAGAUGAAGAGAGAGAAAAUGAACACUGAUCAUUCAAUCUCAUUGUUACUUAACGCCAGGGAGGCCAGAGUGACAGCUUGUGAGAUUAUAUCCAAUGCCUUCGGAAAGUAUUCAGACCCCUUGACUUUUACAUAAGUAUUCAGACUCUACUCAGUACUUUGUUGAAGCACCUUUGGCAGCGAUUACAGCCUCGAUGCUAUAUGCUUGACACACCUGGGAGUUUCUCCAAUUCUUCUCUGCAGAUCCUCUCAAGCUAUGUCAGGUUGGAUGGGGAGCAUUGCUGCACAGCUAUUUUCAGGUCUCUCCUGAGAUGUGUGAUCGGGUUCAAGUCCGGGCUCUGGCUGGGCCACUCAAGGACAUUCAGGGACUUGUCCUGAAGCCACUCCUGCAUUGUCUUGGCUGUGUGCUUAGGGCCAUUGUCCUGUUGGAAGGUGAACCUUCGCCCCAGUCGCUGUCACUGAAAAACAUCCCCACAAAAUGAUGCUGCCACCACCAUGCUUCACCGUAGGGAUGGUGGCAGGUUUCCUCCAGAUGUGAUGCUUGGCAUUCCGGCCAAAGAGUUUAUUCUUGGUUUCAUCAGACCAGAGAAUCUUGUUUCUCAUGGUCUGAGAGUGUCAUGGUCUGAGUGCCUUUUGGCAAACUCCAAGCGGGCUGUCAUGUGCCUUUUACUGAGGAGUGGCUUCCGUCUGGCCACUCUACCAUAAAGGCCUGAUUGGUGGAGUGCUGCAGAGAUGGUUGUCCUUUUGGAAGUUUCUCCCAUCUCCACAGAGGAACUAUCGGGUUGUUGGUCACCUCCCUGACCAAGGCCCUUCUCACCCCGAUUGCCGGGCGGCCAGCUCUAGGAAGAGUGGUUCCAAACUUCUUCCAUUUAAUGAUGGAGGCAUCUGUGUUCUUGGGGACCUUCAAUGCUGCAGACAUUUUUUGAUACCCUUCCCCAGAUCUGUGCCUUGACACUGACUGUCACACCCUGAUCUGUUUCACCUGUCUUUGUGCUUGUCUCCACCCCCCUCCAGGUGUCGGCCAUCUGCCCCAUUAUCCCCUGUGUAUUUAUACCUGUGUUCUCUGUUUGUCUGUUGCCAGUUCGAAUUGUCUUGGGGCAUUUCACAGUAAAGUCUACACCUGUUGUAUUCAGCCCAUGUGACAAAUAAAAU